GGAGUUAGCCGGUGCUUCUUCUGUGAGUGAUGUCCUUCCUGCCGGCUAUUAACCCGCAGGCCUUCUUCCUCACUGAAAGUGCUUUACAACCCGAAGGCCUUCUUCACACACGCGGCAUGGCUGGAUCAGGGUUGCCCCCCAUUGUCCAAUAUUCCCCACUGCUGCCUCCCGUAGGAGUCUGGGCCGUGUCUCAGUCCCAGUGUGGCUGAUCAUCCUCUCAGACCAGCUACGGAUCGUCGCCUUGGUGAGCCGUUACCUCACCAACCAGCUAAUCCGACAUAGGCUCAUCCGAUAGCGCGAGGCCCGAAGGUCCCCCGNUUUCCCCCGUAGGGCGUAUGCGGUAUUAGCCUGGGUUUCCCCAGGUUAUCCCCACUACCGGGCAGAUUCCUAUGCAUUACUCACCCGUCCGCCGCUCGCCACCAGGGAGCAAGCUCCCCGUGCUGCCGCUCGACUUGCAUGUGUUAGGCCUGCCGCCAGCGUUCAAUCUGACCAAGAUCAAAUUCUGA
RNAcentral lists this ribosomal RNA (506 nucleotides) under uncultured bacterium. RNAcentral's name for it is "partial 16S ribosomal RNA". The record is from RNAcentral.